This 309-nucleotide ribosomal RNA is filed under the name Triticum aestivum (bread wheat). Its description in RNAcentral is "partial small subunit ribosomal RNA". The record is from RNAcentral. Lineage: Eukaryota; Viridiplantae; Streptophyta; Magnoliopsida; Poales; Poaceae.
AUGAAGAUGGCGACUUGCAUUCGUAAGGUGGCCUCGGAGGAGUUUGGAGUGUCCAGGGGAAGGAGAAGCGAAGAUAAGUAUACCUGGUGGUGGAAUGAUGAUGUCCAGAAGGCGAUUAAAGAGAAGAAAGAUUGCUUCAGAUGCCUAUACCUGGAUAGGAGUGCAGACAACAUAGAGAAGUACAAGAUGGCGAAGAAGGCCGCAAAGCGAGCUGUUGGUGAAGCAAGGGGUCGGGCAUAUGAGGACCUCUACCAACGGUUAGGCACGAAGGAAGGUGAAAGGGACAUCUAUAAGAUGGCCAAGAUCUGA